GACGAACGCUGGCGGCGUGCUUAACACAUGCAAGUCGAACGGAAAGACCCUGCUUUUGUGUGGUGCUCGAGUGGCGAACGGGUGAGUAACCCGUGAGUAACCUGCCCUUGACUUUGGGAUAACUUCAGGAAACUGGGGCUCAUACCGGAUAGGAGCUCCUGCGGCAUGGUGGGGGUUGGAAAGUUUCGGCGGUUGGGGAUGGUCUCGCGGCUUAUCAGCUUGUUGGUGGGGUAGAGGCUUACCAAGACUUUGACGGGUAGCCGGCCUGAGAGGGUGACCGGCGACAUUGGGACUGAGAGACGGCCCAGACGCCUACGGGAGGCAGCAGUGGGGAAUAUUGCACAAUGGGCGGAAGCCUGAGGCAGCAACGCCGCGGGCGGGAUGACGGCCUUCGGGUUGUAAACCGCUUUCGCCUGUGACGAAGCGUGAGUGACGGUAAUGGGUAAAGAAGCACCGGCUAACUACGUG
Molecule: ribosomal RNA, 468 nt
Filed under: uncultured bacterium
Lineage: Bacteria
Description: partial 16S ribosomal RNA
Rfam family: Bacterial small subunit ribosomal RNA
Source: RNAcentral